RNA transcript from Corythoichthys intestinalis (scribbled pipefish), 8522 nucleotides. RefSeq lists it as uncharacterized. The transcript has 2 exons. NCBI's taxonomy places the organism in Eukaryota, Metazoa, Chordata, Actinopteri, Syngnathiformes, Syngnathidae. The record is from RefSeq and is a predicted model, not a curated record.
CCUUUUUGUUAAAAAGACAAAAGUAAUUCAUAAGUUAAUAAGUUAGUUAAAAUUCUAUAAGUUAGUUCAAAUGUAAAUAUUGUAGUCCAAAGAGUUCAUCUAAAAAUGAUAGCGAGUGAGACCUCGCCUUUUCCAGCAAACGUGCAUUUAUGUUGAAAGCAAGAGCAUCUGUCGCAAUUAGCGAUCUUUGUCGCCAGCCUUUUUUCCUCCUUCCAAGCAUGUUUCUCAGCGCCUGCGAGGCUUAAAACAUCGACGAACUUGCUCUGCCGGCUAAGCCUUGGCUAACCUUCGUCUUUGUGAGUUUUUAGUUGGUUUGUAUGUUGAGUUUGAAGGAAAAAUGUGUGUUUUGUUUAUGGCGAACUUUUUCGUUAUUCAUUGAUAUGACUGGAGACAUUGUGUUUGUGCUAAGCUACUCACACGUGCAAGAUAUUAAUGUAUAACAUUUUGAAUGUAUUAUUAAUUUAUAUUUCGUAUUGUAUUUCAGUUACCGCAUCACAACAACAACACACGUUAUACACACAAAUUGAGACCUCCAUAAAAUCAAGAAAAGUACGCCUUGUCUCUGGAGAGUUUCAUUUUUUGGUUCGCUGGCUGUAUAGCAACACACGUGACGUGUUGUGAGGACAGCACAGUAAAAAGACGAUUACUCAGCGGGCUCCAGCAGCACAGAGCUAUAUCGAGGCAACAUGAGUCUCCGCUCAGGAAGAAGCUAUCUGGGAGGUUACGACCAACAGACUGAAGAUGAAGCAGCCCUCCAGCCACAAAUCGACUCGGAAGACGAACUGGACGCCGGGACAGCCACAGAUCGACUAGACCCUACAGUGCAGCCGUCGUCGAUGGAGCAACGUUCUUCACCUCAACAGCGGUCUUCACCUCAACAGCGGCCUUCACCGCAGCGUCAGCCUUCACCUCAGCAGCAGCCUUCACCGCGGCGACAGCCUUCACCUCAACAGUGGUCUUCGCCUUGCCAACAACUUUCGCCUCAACAGUGGUCCUCGCCUCGACGACAGCCUUCACCUCCACGCAGCACUAGGUCCAGCGCUCCCAGUCGGCGGACACACUCAUCUUCAUCGUCGGUUUUCUCAGCAACAAGGGCUUACGCCAAAGCUCAGGCAGCCAAGGCCCAACUUAGCUUUGCUGAAAAGGAAGCUAACAUGAUGAGGCAAAGAGCAGAAUUAGAGGCUAGUCUCUACGUUCUGAAGUGUGAAAAAGAAAUAGCUGCAGCCGAAGCUGAAGCUGCAGCCUACGAAGAAGUAGAACGUCAGAGCGGGGAGUCAGACAUAGAACCUCAAAUUGAAAAUGUGCCUUUGAAUUCAAUACAGCGCACUAGUGAAUAUGUUGAACAGCAACACAAAUUAUUAGUGCCAUCAAAAACAGUAGUUAAUAGCUCGGACAUGCAAGACACAAAUGAACAUGUCAGAGUUAAAGCUGAAACUUCGCACGUCUCAGAACCCACGAUUCAGGGCGUCAAACACGAAACGAAAAUAAAUCAAAAUAUAAAUAACACCCAGUCUUUGAACCCACACGCUCAUACGUUUCAACCGGCAAAAAACAACCAAAUUGAACUAAAUGGAGCAGCAGAGUUCGCUAAAUAUCUCAUACGCAAAGAAUUGGUCAGUACUGGUUUACUGCAAUUUGAUGAUAAACCAGAAAACUUCCGAGCUUGGAAGGCGUCCUUCGUCAGCUCGACAAAAGAUCUGAAUUUGUCCGCUAGAGAGGAAUUAGACUUACUAACAAAGUGGUUGGGGCCAAAAUCAGCAGAACAAGCUAAAAGAAUCCGCAUAGUUCACACUCUUAAUCCCGCUAAAGGUACAAAAAUGAUUUGGGAACGCCUCGAAGAGUGUUAUGGAUCCUCAGAAGCGAUCGAAGAUGCACUUCUAAAAAAGAUAGAAGAGUUCCCAAGACUAACAAAUAAAGAUCCAACCAAGCUUAGAGAACUUGGUGACAUCUUGUUAGAGUUAGAGUGGGCAAAAUCAGACGGAACACUUCCAGGGCUUGCGUAUCUUGACACGGCACGAGGGGUAAGGCAAAUAGUGGAAAAACUCCCCUUCAAUUUACAAGAAAGGUGGACAGUUGUGGGCUCACAAUAUAAAGACACUUACAGUGUGCCGUUUCCCCCUUUCUCAGUUUUCGUGCAGUUUGUACAGCAACAGGCGAAAAUGCGAAAUGAUCCGAGCUUCGCCUUAUACAACAGUAACGCACAAACGUCCAGUCGCACAGAGAGGUCGACACCACACAAUCGUAAAUUUGCUGUGACAGUACACAGAACAGACGUUGCAAUCGAAAAUCAGAGUGGGCCUGACCAAAAUAAAAUAGAGGAGCCAGAUCGGCAAUGCCCAAUUCACAAAAAGCCACAUCCUCUCAAAAAAUGCAAACUGUUUAGAGACAAGCCUAUGGAAGAGCGCCGCACCUUCCUCAAAGAGCAUCGCAUUUGUUAUAGGUGUUGUGGCUCAGUACAACAUGUUGCAAAAGAUUGCAAGGUGGCAGUCAAGUGUGUUGAGUGCAACAGUCCUAACCACGUGUGGGCACUUCAUCCAGGUCCCACUUCUGUUCCCAAAAAUGACGUCUCAGAAAGUUCAGUUACUGAGCAGGAAACUGCAGUGCUUUCCAUGUGUACGGAAGUAUGCGGUCAAAAUGAAAGCCCUCGCUCUUGCUCCAAAAUCUGUUUAGUGAGAGCUUAUCCAGAAGGCCAAAAACACAAAAUGCUAAAUAUGUACGCAGUGAUCGAUGAACAAAGCAAUAGGUCCCUGGCAAGAACAGAGUUCUUUAAUUUGUUUGAAAUCAAGGCCAAACCUGCUCCAUACACCCUAAAAACAUGUUCUGGAAAGGCAGAAACCUCAGGCAGAAGAGCAGCAAACUUCUUCAUACAGUCAAUGGAUGGCAAAACUGACAUCAAACUGCCUCCUUUGAUUGAAUGUGACUCAAUACUUGAUGACAGAUCAGAAAUACCAUCACCUGAGAUUGCAAAGCACCAUCCUCAUCUCUUCAGAAUUGCAGACAAAAUUCAACCCAUUGAUCACCACGCUCCAAUCCUUCUACUCCUGGGAAGAGACGUUCUCAGGGUUCAUAAGGUACGUGAGCAGAUUAACGGGCCCAACAACGCUCCCUACGCCCAAAGACUGGAUUUGGGUUGGGUUGUAGUGGGGGAGGUAUGUUUAGGCAAGAUUCACGGCAACACAGAGGUCAAUGUUUACAAAACGCACAUGUUGGACAAUGGGCGCACAACCUUUCUUCAGCCAUGUCCAAAUGUCAUUACUGUAAAAGAGGACCAUAGUGUUGGGAUUGAGCAAAACAUACUGACAAGUACAAACAGAAUGGACUCUGUAGACAUCACAGACAAGCUAGGUCAAUCUGUGUUUGACAGAGAUGAAUCAGAUGACAAGGUAGCACUGUCCAUAGAUGACAAAACCUUCCUAACGAUCAUGAAGAACAACGUGAGCAAAAACAAAGAGAACAAUUGGGUCGCUCCUUUGCCUUUCCGCAGACCAAGGAGGAGGCUUCCAAACAAUAGAGAUGCAACCCUGAAGCGUCUCUAUUCACUUAAAAAGACUUUGGAAAAGAAACCAAAAAUGAAAGAGCAUUACAUCCAAUUUAUGCAGAAAAUGCUGGAUAAUGAUCAAGCUGAACUUGCACCGCCUCUACCUGAAGGUAAAGAACACUGGUAUUUGCCAACAUUUGGCGUAUAUCACCCGCAGAAACCAGAUCAAAUUAGAGUCGUGUUCGAUUCUAGUGCAGAGUGUGAUGGUACGUCCCUUAACCAAGUGCUAUUAAGUGGACCCGAUCUGAACAAUUCCCUGUUAGGUGUCUUGAUGCGAUUCCGGAAGGAACCAGUUGCCUUAACAGCGGACAUUCAGCAAAUGUUUUAUUGCUUUGAGGUGUGCGAAGACCACAGGGACUAUCUUCGCUACCUCUGGUUUAAAGACAAUGACCUUACAAAAAAUGUAGUGGAAUACCGAAUGAAAGUACAUGUCUUCGGUAACAGUCCAUCACCUGCUGUUGCCAUUUACUGUAUGCGCCGGGCAGCAGAGGAGGGUGAGCAAGAACACGGCACAGAUGCUAGACAGUUUGUCGAGACACAGUUCUAUGUCGACGAUGGACUUACAUCUGUCCCCACUCCAGAACAUGCAAUUGACCUGUUAACAAGAACAAAAAGCUUGUUAGCAGAAUCCAACCUGCACCUUCACAAAAUUGCAUCGAAUUGCAGCUUGGUCAUGGAAGCAUUUCCUAUGGAGGACCGUGCAAAGGAACUGAAACAUCUGGACCUUGGAGUUGAUCCCCUUCCAGUUCAGAAAAGCCUAGGACUUUGUUGGAAUUUGGAAACUGACAGUUUCACUUAUCGCGUAUCCAAUGAAACAAAACCAUUCACACGCAGAGGAGUGCUAUCGACAAUCAAUAGCCUCUAUGACCCGUUAGGAUUUGCUGCUCCUAUAAUCCUGCAGGGCAAGGCACUGCUCAGAGAACUGUCAUGUGAUGAGAAAGACUGGGAUGCACAUCUUCCCCCUGAAAAAGAGCAGUUGUGGAUCUCGUGGAAAGACUCUUUGAAUGCUCUUGAGGAUCUGGAAAUAAAAAGGUGCUAUGGGCCAGGUUCAGUGAGUACUAUGCAAAGUCAUGAUUUGUUUGUUUUCUCAGAUGCAUCAACUGUGGCGAUAGGGGCAGCAGCUUACCUGCGCUCUGUGGACAGUCAAGGUCAAUAUCACGUAGGCUUCGUGAUGGGAAAGUCUAAACUAGCUCCUCGUCCGGCACACACUGUUCCUCGGCUUGAACUUUGUGCUGCCGUGCUCGCAGUAGAGAUGUACGAGUUAAUCCGAGAUGAGAUGGACAUUCAAAUUCACAAUGUCAAGUUUUUCACCGACAGCCGUAUUGUGUUAGGAUACAUACAUAAUUCUUCGAAAAGAUUCUACAUGUAUGUAGCCAACCGAGUCACACGAAUUAGGAGAUCUACACAACCAGAACAAUGGUGCUACGUGCCAACAGAGUUAAACCCAGCAGAUCAGGCGACUAGGUCACUCCAAGCUGCUGAACUCAAAAACAGUAACUGGUUCACCGGGCCAAAAUUUCUGUAUUCAAAUGACUCGCCCAAAGUCAGUCAGUUCCCACUUGUCGAACCCGAAAAUGACAAAGAAAUGCGUCAAGAAGUAAAAACGCUUACUACCUCAGUACUAGAGUCAGAGCUUGGUUCAGAGCGCUUCAAAAGGUUCUCAAGCUGGACAACAGCAUGCAAGGCAAUAUCCAGGCUCAUUCAAUUUGUUGCCCUCUUUAAGCAAAGGCCAAGUGGAAAAGCAGGGUUUUCAAGUCACAUAACAAGUAUGGAAGAAUUCACUCAAGCCAAAAAUAUCAUUAUAAGAUCAGUCCAGCAGGAUGCAUACAGUGGGAUCAUUAAAAAAGUAAAACAGGGGAAAAUGAUUGGUUCAAGAAAAGAGACACUCAUGAAACUUAACCCAGUUUUGGACAAGGAUGGACUUUUGCGAAUCGGUGGGCGCCUAUCUUCUGCUGAACUUAAUGAAGAUGAAAAACACCCUCUGAUCAUCCCAUCUUCCAGUCACGUAGCCACACUCCUAGUGCGACACUUCCACGAACAGUCUGCUCAUCAGGGACGGCACAUCACAGAAGGAGCUGUCCGUAGUGCUGGGUUCUGGAUAGUGGGAGGUAAGCGGCUCGUUUCUUCUUUGAUACACAACUGUGUCACCUGCCGCAAGUUGCGUGGCAAAAUGCAGUUUCAGAAAAUGGCUGAUUUGCCUGCUGACCGAGUGACUCCAGAGCCCCCUUUCACAACAGUGGGCUUGGACGUGUUCGGGCCAUGGACAAUAGUUACACGUCGCACGAGAGGUGGCAGUGCACUAAGCAAACGGUGGGCUGUUAUUUUCUCAUGCAUGACAACUAGGGCCGUACAUAUCGAGCUAAUUGAAAGCAUGUCAACUGACAGCUUUAUAAAUGCAUUAAGGAGAUUUUUUGCAGUUCGUGGGCCAGCUAAACUUUUGCGUUCAGAUCGAGGAACUAAUUUUGUUGGAGCUUGUAAAGAACUGGGCUUGGACACUGAUAAGUCAGCUACAGGAAAGUUCCUUCAAGAGAAAGGAUGUGCAUGGACAUUUAACCCACCUCAUGCAUCCCACAUGGGAGGGUCUUGGGAACGUCUCAUUGGGGUAGCUAGGCGCAUCCUGGAAGCUAUGUUGACAAAAAAUGCUCAGACCAAUCUGUCUCAUGAGAUUUUAAGCACAUUCAUGGCUGAAGUGAUGGCUAUUAUUAAUGCAAGACCUCUAGUCCCAGUGUCCACAGAUCCUGAGUCCCCAACAGUACUCACUCCAGCAAUGCUACUAACUCAAAAGGCAAGUUCCGUUUCAGCUCCAUCCGGAAACUUUUCCCAGGGUCAGCUAUAUGGGAAACAAUGGAAACGGGUCCAACAUCUGGCGGACACGUUUUGGAAAAGAUGGAAAAUGGAAUAUUUGUCUAGCUUGCAAAAACGUUCAAAAUGGACGAACAAUCAACCGAAUGUGAAAGAAGGAGACAUUGUCCUGUUGAAAGAUGCUCAAGCACACAGGAACGAAUGGCCAAUGGGACUGAUAGUUAGAACUGUACCCAGCGGUGACAAUAGGGUCCGCAAAGUUGAAGUGCGGAUCGUGAGAGAUGGCACAGCCAAAGUGUUCUUAAGACCUGUGUCAGAAAUUGUUGUUUUACUUUCAGAUAUUAACUGAAUACCACAUGUGAUGUCAUAUGUUUCUCGUUUAAUAGUGAUAUAAUGUAAUUAUAUCAAGCGGGGAGUGUCAUGCCUUUUUGUUAAAAAGACAAAAGUAAUUCAUAAGUUAAUAAGUUAGUUAAAAUUCUAUAAGUUAGUUCAAAUGUAAAUAUUGUAGUCCAAAGAGUUCAUCUAAAAAUGAUAGCGAGUGAGACCUCGCCUUUUCCAGCAAACGUGCAUUUAUGUUGAAAGCAAGAGCAUCUGUCGCAAUUAGCGAUCUUUGUCGCCAGCCUUUUUUCCUCCUUCCAAGCAUGUUUCUCAGCGCCUGCGAGGCUUAAAACAUCGACGAACUUGCUCUGCCGGCUAAGCCUUGGCUAACCUUCGUCUUUUUACCGCAUCACAACAACAACACACGUUAUACACACAAAUUGAGACCUCCAUAAAAUCAAGAAAAGUACGCCUUGUCUCUGGAGAGUUUCAUUUUUUGGUUCGCUGGCUGUAUAGCAACACACGUGACGUGUUGUGAGGACAGCACAUGUGUGUUUGUGUAUAUAAUAAUAAAAUGUGCAUAUCAGAUCAAAGUCGUACGUGCACUGUGUGUAUCCCAGGCAGGAAUUUAUAAUUUGUUCUUCUUUCUAUAUAAAGAUUAGGGAUGUAGCACAAAUUCAUCAGCUAUGGUAUUGCUAUGGUAUUCUUUCUAUUGUCAUACAUAUAGAUUUCCAUUAUUAUUUAUUGCUGUAUAUAUUUUUAUUUUAUACUUUAUUAUUUUCAUAAAUACUGACUUUUUUUUCAUGUACAUUUAUAGUGACAAUGAAAAAUAUACAUUCACUGCCCGAAUGGAAAGAGGACGAGGGAGAAGGGGUCAUCACGGAAGAGCGAUGAGAUGUCAGCGGAGGGGAGGCCGGAGAAGUCAGCGUGGCAGAAGCCGAUCACCACUGGCUCAGCCUGCACCUGUGCCAUGGAGCACAGAGCAAGACACAGACACUGCCCCACAGUGCAGCCGGUUCACACCCCGGAGACCACCAGGACCUCAGGUGAAUCGUGACCAUGCAUACACCCCAAAAGAACUUUUUGACCUGUUCUUCACCUCAUCGACAAUGAUGAAUAUGUGCAAACACACAAACCAGUAUGGCAGAGUCCGAAAAGAGAUUGGGAAAAAGUUUGUGUGGACAGACACUACAGUGGAGGAGCUUGAAAAAUUUAUUGGACUCCUCUUGUACAUGUCUUUGGUUUCACUUCCAACUGUGCAAGAUUAUUGGAAGGCAAGGAAUUCCAGGACGAAACAGCUUUUCGGAAUGGCAUGCCUGAAAAAAAUUUAACUUGUUUAUUGUAAAUAUUUUUGAAAAUACUUUUUUUCCAAUGCUAAGUAUAUAUUUUUCCCCCCCACAAUCAGUCUUCUCAAUUUGUGUAUAUAAAUGUGUGUUCAAGAAGCUUGAUUGUGUGUACAUAGUUUUGAUCAGGUGAUGGGCCACAAUACCUAAAUUCAUAAAGGGAUGGCCUCUAAACACUUUUUGUGUUAGAUGGUAUAUAUUUUUUCACUGUUCUUCACUGUUUGGUCUGCUGUAUAUAACCCGUUUUGACUAGAGCAUGUAUAAAAGCAAAAAACGCCUAUGGCCAUACCUGUUGUUUAUGUUGAAUUGUCAAAUAUAAGACUAUUUAUUCUAAAUUUUUUUGGUUGAAUGUUCAUCCUAACAUGUUGAAUAAAUAUUAUAAAGUUUCAAAACGGUUCGUUACGCAUGUUUGGUUGUCAAUUGGACAUCAAUAUUAAAAAUUUUCACAAAACGAUUUUGGAAUUUUUGGUCUUUUUGGGCCCAAAAUGAUGAUUUAUAAUUGGUCAGUGAAAGAAACAACA